RNAcentral lists this ribosomal RNA (432 nucleotides) under uncultured Gigasporaceae. RNAcentral describes it as "eukaryotic LSU rRNA". It matches the Rfam family "Eukaryotic large subunit ribosomal RNA", at positions 1 to 428 of the family's 3401-position model. The record is from RNAcentral. Lineage: Eukaryota; Fungi; Glomeromycota; Glomeromycetes; Diversisporales; Gigasporaceae.
GACCUCAAGUCAAGUGAGAAUACCCGCUGAACUUAAGCAUAUCAAUAAGCGGAGGAAAAGAAACUAACAAGGAUUCCCCUAGUAACGGCGAGUGAAGCGGGAAGAGCACAAAUUUUAAAUCUACCUGGUUUUACUAGGUCGAGUUGUAAUUUGAAGGAACGUUUUUAAUGUUCCGGGUUGGUUUAAAUCCUUUGGGAUAAGGUAUCAUGGAGGGUGAGAAUCCCGUGUAUAUCAACCGCUGGGAUGUUAUUAAUACGUUCUCUAAGAGUCGAGUUGUUUGGGAAUGCAGCUCUAAAUGGGUGGUAAAUUUCAUCUAAUGCUAAAUAUAAGCGAGAGACCGAUAGCGAACAAGUACCGUGAGGGAAAGAUGAAAAGUACUUUGAAAAGAGAGUUAAAUAGUACGUGAAAUUGUUGAAAGGGAAACGAUUGAAG